ACGAAGCAAUCAAGAAAGACGAUGGCGUAGAAGAAGCUGAUCAAAAAGAAGAAAAAUGAAUGAAACUGUAACAAACGGUUUGCAAAAUUUAAAGCUGUUAAACUUUAUAAAUUGAGCGGAUUUACCGGAACUUUUUCAGAUAACAACCAGAGGGGUUUGGCUCCUAUACAAACAAUAACAAUGGCGAUCACUCCUCUCUUCAAUAAUCCCCUGAUGAUCAAUUAAGACACAAAUCGAAGGCAAAUUAAUCUAUCUUAAUCUUCAAUCCACUCCUCUUACUGUUUUACAUCUUGGUGCAUUUGUCUAUGGCUUUACUCUAUUGCCAACUUACACUCUCAACAUGAGAACUGAACGUGUUACUUGGAAAGACUUUUAGCUAACCAAGAUGCUUGAUUGUUUGAUCAUUUGAUCCAUCCACAUUGAUUAGACAAAUCAUCGCUAUUAAUAUCAACAUUUCUAAUGGAGUUUCUUCUAAUAUUAAUUGGCAAUCUAUUAAAUCAACUCUUUUAUCUGAUUUCACGAUGAUCCCCAUUUCUUGGAUAAUUAUGAUUAAUUGGUCUCUUUUUUUACAUGAUUUACAGCCUAUUGUGUCCUUCAAGGCAGGCUAGAAGGCAAUCUACUUGUGAGGCUGUUGAUUUAUCAAAGAAAAUUAUACUUGCUCAAUAAUAUUUAGAUGUUUGUCGAUCAAAGUCUGACCAGGGAGAGACGACAGAGAGGAUCUUCAACAACCUGAAUUGGAAUACGUUAUCUGAUGUUCAACUGUCAAUCAUCAGUUCGGCCAACAGUCAAAUCAAACCAAGGGUUAGGCCUGGAUCCUGAGGAACUGUAGUUUCAACUUUAAGGCAAAUUGGGAAUCUUGAUUGCAUCAAUUUUUAUCAUCAUUAUCAUCAUGAUCGUCAUCAUCAACCUAAAGAGCAACAAAAGCACCAAUUGUUUUCAUCUGAGGAAUAAAAGGGAUCAACUUAAAGCAAAUCAACAUCAUCUUGUUAACUUUUUAACAUGAUGUUUGCGGUUAAUAGCCAAAAAUCAAAUAAUCAAGAUCAAAGUUGAUUAAGCUCUUACAAUUUGGCUCUCUCUCUCCCUCCUGGAUUCUUAAUAGUGUUGAUACUGUUAAACUCAACAUGUUUUGAGACAAUUUAACCCUGAAUAGGCCUCAAUUUAACUAUUAAAGGGUGUUCUUGCCUGUUCUAAUCUUUCAACUUUGCUUUAAAAGAUUCACUGAACAGGUUUGUUCCCUAAGGUUAUCUUGAAGACUUGCCCAAGGCCUGAUGCACAAAAAAGCCAAAAGAGAUGAUGUUCAUGAAAAGCUAUUAGGUUGACCGAGAUUCCAAUGAGUGAUUGUAUUUUGCACUGGAUUUUGGAAACAAAAAAGAAGAGUAUCAUGAUCAUGAUAGAAGCCGAUAAUAAUAACAUUUUCGAUACGAUGAGCAAUGCGGGUUUUGAAAGGGCAGUUCAGACUAAUUUAAUUGGAUUUAAUGCCCAAAAAGAGCCAUUCCAAACAAUAGUUGAUACCAAAAGUGACCAUCUUGAUUUGUGCCCGUUGAAAGUAAACAAUCAAUCGUUUUGUUUAUCAAGCAAACGGAACAAUAUUAGAAUGAUUUAAUCUUUUAAUCAUGAAUAUAGCUGAUGAUAAAAAUCAAAAUGAAGAGUUUUUGGAAAAUCUCAUUAACAACAUUUCCCAUACAGUUGAAUCAGAAGCCAUCAGAAGCAAUCUUGAAACAAACCUGAUGAUGAUUAUCAAAUUUAAAUUUAAAUUUUACUCAUUUGAUGCAGCCAAAAUUGCUCUUGAAAUUGAAUUGAAUCACAGCCAAAUAAUCAUGAAAUAUGUUUGACAAUUGGGGUUGAUUAAUAUGCUAAAAGUAAAUCACCAAGCUUUACUUUUGUACCUCCAAUGGUCACCUCACCAUAUAAUUAACUCUCAUGAAUCAUUUCUAAUCAUGGUUUCAAGGCAUUUCAAUUCUUCAUGCAGACCCGCAAAGAGUUAACAUGUAAAAGCGUAAACCAUCCAAAUUAAAUAAGAUAAUCAUGUUAAUCAAACCUCACACAAUCAUAAGGCAACUGUUGAAAAUUAAAGGUUUGAUUGUAAUCAAAAGUAAACCUGACCAAGAUAUGGCAAGACAAUUGACAUUAUUGAUUAAGUGUCACGUCAAACAGUUGUAUCAAAUUGUUUGAUCAAAAAAUGUCAGCCAAAAGACGAAAGUCAAUUAAUCAAGCAAGAUGAAGAUUUACCGAUUAAAUCAACACCAGGCCAUCAUGAUAAUCAUUUAUUUACACUUAAUGUUACAAUUGCAAUGUUAACAACUUUAAAUUUUCAAUUUAAACAUUUACCUUUUUGCCCUUCUAAUGAAUUCAAUUGCCAGACCAUAGCAACAACCAAAAGCUUCACAAAAGCCCAAAAAAUCGCAUCAACCAAAUUUAUAAUUCAUUAAAGACUUUCAACUGAUUAAACGCACGGAAACACAAAUUGAGUUAAAAAUGACCGCAAAACAAAAGUCCAAUUCACAGCAACAUUAAAAGCUAUUAAAAGCCGGACAAAAGCAUAAACCAAAUUAAAUCUUAAUGAUGUGAGAAUGUCAUCGAUUGUGACAAUUUAACUUUAAGUUAUCAAUCAAUUGACAUUUCUAAACAUUUGUCAUUAACUUCAACCUUAACCAUGAAAUGGUGUAAAGCAAUUAAGAGUCAAUAGUAAAGUUGCUUAAAGGUUCAACAGUUGAACCAUCAAACAAAAUCCAAUUGUAACAAUUAAAAGGUAAAAGGCUAAAAAUUGCCUUUGAAAUGUUGAGUGAUUUAGAUUUUUUGCCGAGAUGGAAAAGUUUACCUUAAAAAAAGAGCUGAGCAAAACUCAUUUUUACCCAUUUUCAUGGUUUCAACAUUAAAGUCAUUCCUUUAUCAUUAUCAUCAUCUAAUUACAUUUAACAUUGUUUAUCCACUAAUUAGCCUUUUAAUAACGAAUUGGUAAAAGAUGAUAAUUUAAGUUUAAUAUUUAAGUUUCAAAUGAAGACAAAAGAUGAUUAUUUUCAUUUCUCAAAUUGGCUAAUUAUUUUUGAACCAAAUAACGUUAUAAACUUAACAGCAACAAAAAAAAGAGUGAAAAGCUAGAGGCAAAUUCAAUUGAUUUGAUUCUCUCAUCAUUAACCAUUAUCAACCAUUAAUUUAAUAGCAAGAAACCCUUUAAUCGAGAUGUUAAUGAAAACAAUCAUUUCUCUUGUUAAUGAUGUUAACUCGUUAAAAACAUGACAAAAAUCAAGUUCAUUGACAGAAGGCGAUUUCAAUUUCAUGUUGCCAGGAAAAAAAACAUUUUCUCAAUGAAUGAGUAUUUUUCCUAAAUCAAACGACUUCACUUGACAUUGAAUAAAUAUCAAUCAAAGAAGCAGAAAAAUUGUUGAAAUUGUUAAUUGAAUCAUCAAAAGGUAUUUAUAUAAAAAACAGAUCAACUUGAACCAAUUAAAGGUUCAUCUAUGAAUGUAGCCAAAAAUUAACCCAAUUACAGCUUCCG
Molecule: non-coding RNA, 3496 nt
Organism: Tetranychus urticae (two-spotted spider mite)
Lineage: Eukaryota; Metazoa; Arthropoda; Arachnida; Trombidiformes; Tetranychidae
Source: RefSeq, a predicted model, not a curated record